This 250-nucleotide ribosomal RNA is filed under the name uncultured bacterium. Its description in RNAcentral is "partial 16S ribosomal RNA". It matches the Rfam family "Bacterial small subunit ribosomal RNA", at positions 103 to 354 of the family's 1533-position model. The record is from RNAcentral.
CGGGUGAGUAACGCGUGAAAACCUGCCGUAUACUGGGGGAUAACACUUAGAAAUAGGUGCUAAUACCGCAUAAGCGCACAGCUUCGCAUGAAGUGGUGUGAAAAACUCUGGUGGUAUACGAUGGUUCCGCGUCUGAUUAGCUUGUUGGCGGGGUAAUGGCUCACCAAGGCGACGAUCAGUAGCCGGCCUGAGAGGGUGAACGGCCACAUUGGGACUGAGACACGGCCCAAACUCCUACGGAAGGCAGCAG